RNAcentral lists this ribosomal RNA (253 nucleotides) under uncultured bacterium. Its description in RNAcentral is "partial 16S ribosomal RNA". It matches the Rfam family "Bacterial small subunit ribosomal RNA", at positions 524 to 776 of the family's 1533-position model. The record is from RNAcentral.
UACAGAGGUGGCAAGCGUUGUUCGGAAUUACUAGGCGUAAAGGGCGCGUAGGCGGCUUGGUCAGUCCCGUGUGAAAUCCCUCGGCUCAACUGAGGAACUGCACGGGAAACUGCCUGGCUUGAGUUCGGGAGAGGGAAGCGGAAUUCCGGGUGUAGCGGUGAAAUGCGUAGAUAUCCGGAGGAACACCGGUGGCGAAGGCGGCUUCCUGGACCGACACUGACGCUGAGGCGCGAAAGCUAGGGGAGCAAACGGG